AUUGAACGCUGGCGGCAUGCUUUACACAUGCAAGUCGAACGGUAACAGGGUGCUUGCACCGCUGACGAGUGGCGAACGGGUGAGUAAUGCGUCGGAACGCACCGAGUAAUGGGGGAUAACGCAGCGAAAGCUGUGCUAAUACCGCAUACGCUCUGAGGAGGAAAGCGGGGGACCUUCGGGCCUCGCGUUAUUCGAGCGGCCGACGUCUGAUUAGCUAGUAGGUGAGGUAAGAGCUCACCUAGGAGACGAUUAGUAGCGGGUCUGAGAGGAUGACCCGCCACACGGGGACGGAGACACGCCCCAGACUCCUUCGGGAGGCAGCAGUGGGGAAUUGUUGACGAUGGGCGCAAGCCUGAUCCAGCCAUGCCGCGUGUCUGAAGAAGGCCUUCGGGUUGUAAAGGACUUUUGUCAGGGAGGAAAUCCUUAGCGCUAAUACCGUUGAGGGAUGACAGUACCUGAAGAAUAAGCACCGGCUAACUACGUGCCAGCCGCCGCCGUAA
RNAcentral lists this ribosomal RNA (500 nucleotides) under uncultured bacterium. Its description in RNAcentral is "partial 16S ribosomal RNA". It matches the Rfam family "Bacterial small subunit ribosomal RNA", at positions 30 to 523 of the family's 1533-position model. The record is from RNAcentral.